CGGAGUAAUGCUUGGGAAUCUAGCUUAUGGAGGGGGAUAACUACGGGAAACUGUAGCUAAUACCGCGUAGUAUCGAGAGAUGAAAGUGUGGGACCUUCGGGCCACAUGCCAUAGGAUGAGCCCAAGUGGGAUUAGGUAGUUGGUGAGGUAAAGGCUCACCAAGCCGACGAUCUCUAGCUGGUCUGAGAGGAUGACCAGCCACACUGGGACUGAGACACGGCCCAG
Molecule: ribosomal RNA, 225 nt
Filed under: uncultured bacterium
Lineage: Bacteria
Description: partial 16S ribosomal RNA
Rfam family: Bacterial small subunit ribosomal RNA
Source: RNAcentral